Molecule: ribosomal RNA, 443 nt
Filed under: uncultured bacterium
Lineage: Bacteria
Description: partial 16S ribosomal RNA
Rfam family: Bacterial small subunit ribosomal RNA
Source: RNAcentral
CCUACGGGUGGCAGCAGUGGGGAAUAUUGGGCAAUGGUCGCAAGCCUGACCCAGCAACGCCGCGUGAAGGAAGAAGGCUUUCGGGUUUUAAACUUCUUUUAUCAGGGACGAAGCAAGUGACGGUACCUGAUGAAUAAGCCACUGCUAACUACGUGCCAGCAGCCGCGGUAAUACGUAGGUGGCAAGCGUUAUGCGGAUUUACGGGGUGUAAAGGGCGUGUAGGCGGGAAAGCAAGUCAGAUGUGAAAACCAUGGGCUCAACCUGUGGCCUGCAUUUGAAACUGUUUUUCUUGAGUACUGGAGAGGCAGACGGAAUUCGUGGUGUAGCGGUGAAAUGCGUAGAUAUUAGGAGGAACACCAGUGGCGAAGGCGGUCUGCUGGACAGCAACUGACGCUGAGGCGCGAAAGCGUGGGGAGCAAACAGGAUUAGAUACCCGAGUAGUC